CGUGCGCGCCGAGACGCGAGGGCUUAUGGGUAGCAGGAGCGCUAGGGGAAGCCUGGCCGGCGUCGGGCCCCCGGGGGCAUCCGCGAGCUAUCGGCGGUUGGACCGGCGGCUCUGGGUGGCGUUCCGGACGCGGAUCUGGCGCCGAAGUUCUCACGAGACCUGAUACCUUCCUUAUUUGUAUAUUCUCUUACUUAAAAAGCCAGAUGUCUUUUUUUUUUUUUUCAUUGAAAAGAGAAAAUUGACAACGUAAACGGUCGUUUGGAGGGGCCACCUGGGGACGCGGCCCGAGCCCUGGCUCUACCUGAAGAAUAUCUUCUAUUUGCCACACUUCCUCUCCCCGUUUCCUUUCUUCGCCCCUCUCCUCUUUCCCCUUCCCCUCGAAGGUAAUGAGAACUACUGGACCGAUUACGCUAACCUCUUGGCCCUUUGUCAAAAAAUGGAGCCAAAAAGGUUGAUUUAGACAGACCCCCUGCUCAGUGCAGCACCUGUUAUUCUCUGUAUUUAUAUUACCAAGGGCCUUCGGUAAAUUAUGAAAAAUAGGAUGCCACCUGGGACAACACUGCUUAGACAGCACUGGAAGACCUUUAUAAAUAUACUAGGUUGCUUUUCUCCAAUCAGCCUAGCCUUGAUUUGAAAUUCAUUUUUAUUUUUUUUGAGACGGUGAAAUUCAUUUUUAAAAGAUAGUUUUAACCUCAGCGAUCUCUGAUGUUUGCGCUAAUACCCUUUUAAAGGCUUUCAGAAAUUUUAAGGAAUUGCUAUGAAAGGAAAAGUAACAUUCUAGUUUUUCUCUGUAAAAGAGGUUCACAAACGGCAGAUCGCUGUUAUGAAAAGAAGGGGUGGAAGUAUUUAAGGAAUUGUGGCAAACAAAGUCACAGAAGAAUGGAUAUAAGCAAAAGUAGCACACUGAAAAAAAUGGGGAAAAGUGGAGUCUAGAUCACAAACUGAUAAGCUUGGUGAUGUUCUCUAGCCAAAUUCGAAGGUAAUAACAUUGUAUUAUGGCUUUCUGUUUAAAAGCAGUUUCGCUUAUUUGAUUAUUCAACAAAUCUUUAUUAACACGCAUUACGUGUACCAGAAACUGUGGUACACUUAACUGUGGAGCUGGGGAAGCAAAAGUGAACAUGCCGCCUUAAGUGAGUUCAGAUGGCUUAUCUUCCGGUUGGGGAGGCAUCAAGUACACAGGUCCGUUGUAAACCAGUGUCUUAAGUGCUAACCUUAUCACAUUUGCUAUUAGAGGAUAUUAAACAUGUUAGACUUCUUGGAGAAAGUUGAUACUUUCACGUUCCAAGUUUGGGAACAUCAUUGAAUUCAGACAGAUCUGGAUUGAAACAGAUUAAAGUGCCUACACUUUAAUA
This 1352-nucleotide non-coding RNA is filed under the name Pan troglodytes (chimpanzee). Lineage: Eukaryota; Metazoa; Chordata; Mammalia; Primates; Hominidae. The record is from RNAcentral.